UGUCAUUCACAACGAAAAAAUGGUAUUCAAAGCGAAAACGUAAACUAUGAUUUUGCAAAAAUAACAAAAAACAACAACAAUCAUGCCCAAUGGUUCGGAUGCAUUCCAGGCUCGCUGAAAUUGGCCCCCGCCAAAGCGAACCAAAAAAGACGACACUCCUUGGAUGGCAGAGAUUGCCAGAGAGCGACUCGAAGAGCAGAAGGACCUUCACAGGAAGAAGGAAGAACAUGAAAUAAGGAAGGAAAAGAUGGUCGAGGACCUCAUCAACACGCAAAAAAAAUUCCAGAAUGAUUUAUUGGAAGUGCUGAAAAAUAAUAAUAAGUUUAUAAUUUGCAUUACGGUCUAAACAAUAUUUUGCGAUUGCAGAUCGUAUCUGUUCUGCUGACUGAUUCAAGUCACCAGAACUAUUGCUGCUAUCGGGCAGCAUAAUUGGAAUAAUUUUCUGUUGAACCACGGCCGAAAUAAUUGCUACAUCUUCAUCAUCCAUUAUAAGAAAAAAAUUAAUAAAUCUUCCGCGAAAAUUUGAUGUA
Drosophila miranda is the source of this 530-nucleotide long non-coding RNA. RefSeq lists it as uncharacterized. The transcript has 2 exons. Lineage: Eukaryota; Metazoa; Arthropoda; Insecta; Diptera; Drosophilidae. The record is from RefSeq and is a predicted model, not a curated record.